UGCCCAGCAACUCCUAUCCCUACCUCUUAGUGGUACUGGCCGGGGUACGAGUAACCUUAGAGAAGA
This 66-nucleotide ribozyme is filed under the name Aedes aegypti (yellow fever mosquito). RNAcentral describes it as "drz-agam-1 ribozyme". It matches the Rfam family "drz-agam-1 ribozyme". The record is from Rfam by way of RNAcentral. Lineage: Eukaryota; Metazoa; Arthropoda; Insecta; Diptera; Culicidae.